UUGGGUAUAGCUGGGUCAAAUGGUGGUUCCCAGUUUUCCAAGGAAUCUCCAUACUGCUUUCCACAUUGGCUGCACCAAUUUGCACUCCCACCAGCAAU
RNAcentral lists this microRNA precursor (98 nucleotides) under Marmota monax (woodchuck). Lineage: Eukaryota; Metazoa; Chordata; Mammalia; Rodentia; Sciuridae. The record is from RNAcentral.